AUUCACUCAUAAUCCGAGGAGAACAACAACAUUCUGCAAUGUGAUCGUCGCCUCUCCGAUAUGGAGGCGAAAAGUGUGUCUCCUGAUGCCAUCGCUCACCAUGGCUGUAAUGAGGGCCCAAUCAAGUCGUAUGUUGCAAACUCUAAAAAUACCAUAAAAAUUAACCACAUGAAGAUAUUCUACAAUCCUCUGAUGUGGCCGCC
Molecule: long non-coding RNA, 203 nt
Filed under: Elaeis guineensis (African oil palm)
Lineage: Eukaryota; Viridiplantae; Streptophyta; Magnoliopsida; Arecales; Arecaceae
Description: long non-coding RNA (EGUI_LNC047713)
Source: RNAcentral